AUGUAAGAGGGAAGAUAAAAUCAAAUGGUAGGCGAAGAAAGGUUUCAAGAAGACGACGAGGAUGGCGUUAAGAAUGACGUGGAUUAACCGAAGACGAAAGAAGUUAAAGAAGUUCUCAGUGAGGUGACAAGAGAUGAUUGGUGGAGAAGUAUCCGGUGAGAUGGAAAGCGAUGAUUGGUGGAGAAGAGAAGAAGACGAAGAAAAGGAUUACGUGGACUAACAAGAAGGCUAUAAAAGGGCGAGGAAGGGCGAGACAGAGGGGGAAGAAGAAAGCAGCGGAGACUCGGCGGGUCAGGGACGGUUCGACCGGAAGAGAGCGACGCCGGCUACUGCUCCGGUGCGCUCGUGAUCUACGGCUUUGCACCGCAGACUUCCUGCCGUUCCUGAGCCCGUUCCGGGGAGUCCACGGAGGACGCUACCACCUGCUACGGCCAGGGGCGUCUCUACCGCUGUUGGCACCCUUCCGGGUGGUGCCCCACCGCCAACAUCAUCGGCCACACCUCCACGGGCGUUUGGACCGGGAGUGUGUACGACGCAACCAACGACGCCUCCAGCGACGCCAGCCCUAGAACGUCGAACGCCACUCCGACGUCGGCUACGGGACCCGCACCACACCACAUCCGCAUCGAACCAGACGUGAGCACGAACGCCAACCACUAUCAGUAGAACGCUAGUGUAGUGUUACUGGGACGUGUGUACUGACAGUCUUUGUAUCUUGUGUGUUAGGUUUGUGUGCUGCUGUUCGUGCCGCGUGGGUUGUAUUAAAUGUGCAUCUGUGUGGGUA
RNAcentral lists this long non-coding RNA (784 nucleotides) under Dermacentor andersoni. RNAcentral describes it as "uncharacterized LOC126539849". The record is from RNAcentral. Lineage: Eukaryota; Metazoa; Arthropoda; Arachnida; Ixodida; Ixodidae.